RNAcentral lists this ribosomal RNA (179 nucleotides) under uncultured eukaryote. RNAcentral describes it as "partial 18S ribosomal RNA". It matches the Rfam family "Eukaryotic small subunit ribosomal RNA", at positions 1299 to 1458 of the family's 1831-position model. The record is from RNAcentral.
UCGUGAAGUGAUUUGUUUGGUUGAUUCCGUUAACGAACGAGAUCUCAACCGCCCAAUAGGUGCCACGUCGAUUGUAUCCCCGGACCACGCCUUCGGGUGUUGGCUCUGUGGGAGAGACGGGGUUACCUUCUCAGCGGCACCUGGCGUGCUUUCCAGCACCAUGGAGCGAGCCAAUAGCA